This 19-nucleotide unclassified non-coding RNA is filed under the name Mus musculus (house mouse). Its description in RNAcentral is "oocyte_clustered_small_RNA8330". Lineage: Eukaryota; Metazoa; Chordata; Mammalia; Rodentia; Muridae. The record is from RNAcentral.
GAUGUAGAAGUACUAAGGA